UACAGAGGUGGCAAGCGUUGUUCGGAAUUACUGGGCGUAAAGGGCGCGUAGGCGGCCCUAUAAGUCCUGUGUGAAAUCCCUCGGCUCAACUGAGGAAUUGCACAGGAAACUGCAGGGCUUGAGUUCGGGAGAGGGAAGCGGAAUUCCGGGUGUAGCGGUGAAAUGCGUAGAUAUCCGGAGGAACACCGGUGGCGAAGGCGGCUUCCUAGACCGACACUGACGCUGAGGCGCGAAAGCUAGGGGAGCAAACGGG
RNAcentral lists this ribosomal RNA (253 nucleotides) under uncultured bacterium. Its description in RNAcentral is "partial 16S ribosomal RNA". It matches the Rfam family "Bacterial small subunit ribosomal RNA", at positions 524 to 776 of the family's 1533-position model. The record is from RNAcentral.